This is an RNA transcript of Lolium rigidum, 3180 nucleotides long. RefSeq lists it as uncharacterized. The record is from RefSeq and is a predicted model, not a curated record. NCBI's taxonomy places the organism in Eukaryota, Viridiplantae, Streptophyta, Magnoliopsida, Poales, Poaceae. The transcript has 4 exons.
UCCUCCGGCGCCGUCGCGAUGGCGUCCAUCCUGCCCCGGCUGCUCCUUCGCCGCCGAAGGGCUCUGCAACCCGCCGCCGCAGGUCUACGCUCCCUACGGUUCGUCGCCUCGCCUCCUCUCGACGGUCCAAUCGCCAUCAGUUCCCCACGCCUCGGCGCACUGCUCGAGCGUUCCCGUGCUGCUGCUGGAUUCGCGACAGCUGCGCGGAGACAGUCCCCGGCGAGGCACGGGAGCACGGCGGUGACGCUGGACACGGACGGCGGCUUCGCGCGCUUCUCGGUCGGAGACGAACCGCGCACGACGCAACCGCAGGGGAAGAAGAAGCAGAAGAUGUCGAAGAAGUCCAAGGUGAACCAGCUCAAGUGGUUCCGCCUCAAGGCCAAGAAGAAGAUGAAGUCGCCUAACCCCGAGGUCCGGAUCAGAUACAAGCUCGACAAGGCUAAGAGGAAAGAGGAGUGGCUGAUCGAGAAGCUCCGGAAGUACGAGGCGCCCUGGAGGGGUCCGGCGCCGGUCCACGACCCCGAGAUUCUGACCGAGGAGGAGAAGUUUUACCUCAAACGAACCGGGGAGAAGAAAAAGAACUACGUCCCCGUCGGGAGGCGAGGGGUGUUUGGCGGCGUGGUCCUCAACAUGCACCUCCACUGGAAGAGGCACGAGACCAUGAAGGUGGUUUGUAAGCCCUGCCGGCCUGGCCAGGUGUACGAGUACGCCGAGGAGCUGGCCAGGCUCAGCAAGGGGACUGUCAUAGAUAUUAAACCAGAUAAUACGAUUAUAUUCUAUCGUGGGAAAAAUUAUGUGCAACCGAAAGUUAUGUUGCCUCCUGAUACUCUGUCCAAGCAGAAGGCCUUGGAGAAAUAUAGGUUUGAACAAUCUCUUGAACAUACCAGUAAAUUUAUCGAGCAGCUGGAGAAGGAGCUUGAAGAUUACCAGAAGCAUGUUGAGUUAUUUAAGAAGCGUGAGGGGGCUAUUGCUGAGGAGAUCAGUAACGAAGACACUGAUGGUGAUGAUCUCACAUCUAGCUCAGAUACUGAAUGAAUCGUCUUCUUGAUCAAUUGGCACCUCGGCGCAGAUCCUUUCACAAUGGAGAUUUGAUAUGAUCUAGCUGCCCUAAAUCUGAGUGCAUCUGGUUUGCCAUCACACUUUCCCAAAUUUUUGGUAGACAGGGUGUGGCAAUCAUUCCGUCUUCUCUAGCAGUGUACCCCACCUGUCAUGGACUGAGCUCUAAGAGUUGCACUGAGAGAUACUGAAGUUCAGAGUCAGCAGCAUUUCGACGCAACAUGAGCUUUGGAUGCUUGUCGGGCGAGAUGAGUUGUGUUUGCAGCUUUCAUCAGAAAUGAGCUUCCUUGGAUCAUCAGUAGUGAAAAUCAACUUGGGUGUCUUUUGGAGAAGGAUCUGCUCAAAUGGAAACAUGUGCAUAGUCUACUGCCUGACAUUGGCUGUACCCUUACAGAGAAGACUUGGAGACAUGGUAGUGUUCCAACGGAGAUAAUAUGUGUAGCUAGCUUUCAAAAGCAUUUGCCACACACAGUCUGAGAUAAUAAAUGUACCUUGCUUAUACAUAUGUCCAUUGAAGAGCUGAUUCACAAACCAUGAUUAAGACAUACUGCUUAUGUCAAAUGUAAUGCAUUUCUUGAUCACACAAAUGGAUGAUUUGCUUGGAUCACAAUAUUUUUCUUAAUUUUUUAUUGCUCUUCAUGUGAGAGAUUAACAGAUCCUGAAGCCCUUGUGCCACCAGUGUAAACUAUCUGUGAAAUGGUACAAGCACCGGUAAUUCUGUCAGAAGAAGAGAAUGGCACUGUGUAUUAAGGAAAAAGCCAACCGGAAACCAAUGUACUAGUUUUGAUGCCUACAGGCAUGUCUUGCCUACCGGAAACUCAUGUACCAAUUUUCAGAGGCUUCAGCAUCCAAACCAAUUGAAAUCAGGUAUUGCUUUCCUGUACACCCUAGUUUCCCUCUGUUAUGUAUUACAGUACGGAUUACUCAUUUUCUUGAAAAACGUAUGAUUGCGGAAAGAUGCAGAAUGAAUCGAGACCAUAGUUAACCAAUCAUAAGUAAAACACAAAUCUUCAGGCACAUUUCACUACUUUUGCAUAUUCAGUCAUUUACAAUAACUGAAGCACUUGUACAGUUGUACUGAACAGAAGAAAACCAAACAGUCCAGUUUACCUAUGGUUGGCAUAUCAUUUGAUAUGCACCCUUGCUUUAUGACCAUCGUAUUUAUCCUCCAUUUGUGACUUGCAUGAACAUUUAGGCUAGAGCAACAUUCUUCUUUCACACUAAAGCUUAUGUAUUUAUCUUCUUUUGUGUAGUUGUAACUGUUGUAUUUGCAAGAAGCUUGCCGUAAUCUGAUUUCACGCCAAUUCUUCAGCUGCAGCCGCCGGCUGUGAAGCCGAUCCUGGACUGUGCGACGUCGUAGACGACACUGAACGUCUGCUGCUGCGUGUUCCCGAUGAUCGCUGUGUCGUCGGUGGCCGCGAACGCCAAGCACGUUGUUGAAUCGUCGACGUCGAUGAGCACGUUCCCCGGCUUUAGCUUCAGUGUCGCUCCGCCAGCGAAGGCCAAAUCCACCGUAGGCAAGUGCAGCUUCGAGACCUGGCCCUUGAAGCACGUAUCCAGGAUCGAGUAGGCCGGGGCAUGCGGCGUUCCUCCCAUGGCUGCGACCAGUGCUUUGCUCAGUGCUGUGUAUACAGCCGUAGGCAGCCGCGAGAUCACUGUGCCAGAGUCGAUGAUCGUUGGCAGGCUGCUGUACUCCGAGGAAGAAACAGCGAGUGGGUUGCCGCCAACGGACAUCCCAGCGAUGUUGAUGAAGUAGAGUGAGGUGUCAAGCGAGCUGGAGACCAUGGGUGUGUACAAAUACUGCCCUGGGUUGUACGACCCGAUGGACAGGUACCCAGCUGAUGCCGACGUAGGGAGGCAGUAGGAGAACGAGGAGCCGAUGCUCGGCGCGAGCUGGUAAAGCAGAGAGAGCUUGUUCCGGGCGAGGCCGAUGAGCCCGGCGGACUGGCCGAAGAGGCCUUCGUUGUCCUGGCCGCAGCCAUAGACGAAACCGGGGAAGCUGCUGCCGCCAAGGGAGACGGUGUCCUUGCUAAGGUAGCCGAUGGAGAAGGAACCGUCACCGUAGCUGGCCUGGUAGAUGCAGGUGUUAGAUUUGGAGCAAGCGGAGGGGUUAAACGUGGCGGC